AGAGUUUGAUCCUGGCUCAGGAUGAACGCUAGCUACAGGCUUAACACAUGCAAGUCGAGGGGCAUCAGGAAGAAAGCUUGCUUUCUUUGCUGGCGACCGGCGCACGGGUGAGUAACACGUAUCCAACCUGCCCUUUACUCGGGGAUAGCCUUUCGAAAGAAAGAUUAAUACCCGAUAGCAUAAUGAUUCCGCAUGGUUUCAUUAUUAAAGGAUUCCGGUAAAGGAUGGGGAUGCGUUCCAUUAGGUUGUUGGUGAGGUAACGGCCCACCAAGCCUUCGAUGGAUAGGGGUUCUGAGAGGAAGGUCCCCCACAUUGGAACUGAGACACGGUCCAAACUCCUACGGGAGGCAGCAGUGAGGAAUAUUGGUCAAUGGGCGCUAGCCUGAACCAGCCAAGUAGCGUGAAGGAUGAAGGCUCUAUGGGUCGUAAACUUCUUUUAUAUAAGAAUAAAGUGCAGUAUGUAUACUGUUUUGUAUGUAUUAUAUGAAUAAG
RNAcentral lists this ribosomal RNA (492 nucleotides) under Bacteroides fragilis. RNAcentral's name for it is "bacterial SSU rRNA". It matches the Rfam family "Bacterial small subunit ribosomal RNA", at positions 8 to 490 of the family's 1533-position model. The record is from RNAcentral. Lineage: Bacteria; Pseudomonadati; Bacteroidota; Bacteroidia; Bacteroidales; Bacteroidaceae.